CAGAUGUAGUUCAAUGGUAGAAUAUGAGCUUCCCAAGCUUAGGACGCGGGUUCGAUUCCCGUUAUCUG
RNAcentral lists this transfer RNA (68 nucleotides) under bovine gut metagenome. It matches the Rfam family "tRNA". Rfam says of the family: Transfer RNA (tRNA) molecules are approximately 80 nucleotides in length. Their secondary structure includes four short double-helical elements and three loops (D, anti-codon, and T loops). The record is from RNAcentral.